RNAcentral lists this non-coding RNA (766 nucleotides) under Inara alboguttata. The record is from RNAcentral. Lineage: Eukaryota; Metazoa; Arthropoda; Insecta; Hemiptera; Reduviidae.
AAAAAGUUUGAUUCUUGCUUGAUUAAGUUGCUUUCUAUUGAUUGAACAUGUAAAUUUUUUUGUGUUAUUUAUUUUCUAAAUGAAAUCUAAAGAAAUAUUUUCAGUUCUAAGUAUUAAAUUUUUCAGAGUUAUCUGGAAUUAGUUAAUUGAGUUAGUUAGACUAAACAUUGUGCCAGCAGUCGCGGUUAUACAAUGUGAGGCGAGCAACUUUUUUUUGGUUUAGUUAUUUAAUUUUAUUUUUAUAAUUUAUUAUAUUUUCUUGAAGGUGAAAUUUAGGAAUUUAGUAAUUUUAUGGUUUAUGAUUAAUAAGAAAGUCUUUACUGAGAAUGGGAUUAGAUACCCCAUUAUUAUAGAUAGUAAAUUUAACCUUAGUAUUAAUAGAUAUGAUCUUUAAAUUAAAAGAAUUUGGCGGUAAUUUAGUCUUUCCAGAGGAACCUGCCCUGUAAUUGAUAAUCCACGAUAAAUUUUACUUUACUCAGGCUUGUAUAUCUCUGUCAUUGAAUGUUUUAGGAGGAUAUUUUCUAUAAUUUUUAUGAAAUUAAUGUCAGGUCAAGGUGCAGCAAUGGUAAAGAAGAGGUGGGUUACAUUAUAAUUAUAUAUGGAUUAAAAUAUGGAAAUUUAUUUGAAAUUGGAUUUGGUAGUAAUUUUUAUUAUAAUAUAAAUUUGAUUUAGCUCUAAAUUAUGUACAUAUCGCCCGUCAUUCUCAUUUUUAAAUGAGACAAGUCGUAACAAAGUAGGCCUACCGGAAGGUGGGCCUGGAUUUAUU